This 407-nucleotide ribosomal RNA is filed under the name uncultured bacterium. RNAcentral describes it as "bacterial SSU rRNA". It matches the Rfam family "Bacterial small subunit ribosomal RNA", at positions 29 to 477 of the family's 1533-position model. The record is from RNAcentral.
AGCGAACGCUGGCGGCAGGCUUAACACAUGCAAGUCGAGCGGGCGUAGCAAUACGUCAGCGGCAGACGGGNGAGUAACGCGUGGGAACGUACCUUUUGGUUCGGAACAACACAGGGGAAACUUGUGCUAAAUACCGGAUAAGCCCUUACGGGGAAAGAUUUAUCGCCGAAAGAUCGGCCCGCGUCUGAUUAGCUAGUUGGUGAGGUAACGGCUCACCAAGGCGACGAUCAGUAGCUGGUCUGAGAGGAUGAUCAGCCACAUUGGGACUGAGACACGGCCAAACUCCUACGGGAGGCAGCAGUGGGGAAUAUUGGACAAUGGGCGCAAGCCUGAUCCAGCCAUGCCGCGUGAGUGAUGAAGGCCCUAGGGUUGUAAAGCUCUUUUGUGCGGGAAGAUAAAUGACGGUA